Molecule: ribosomal RNA, 497 nt
Filed under: uncultured bacterium
Lineage: Bacteria
Description: bacterial SSU rRNA
Rfam family: Bacterial small subunit ribosomal RNA
Source: RNAcentral
GAUGAACGCUAGCGGCAGGCCUAACACAUGCAAGUCGAGGGGUAGAGGGUGCUUGCAUGCUGACGACCGGCGCACGGGUGCGUAACGCGUAUGCAAUCUACCUUUUGCUAAGGGAUAGCCCAGAGAAAUUUGGAUUAAUACCUUAUAGUAUGAUGACUUGGCAUCAAGAUAUCAUUAAAGAUUACGGCAAAAGAUGAGCAUGCGUUCUAUUAGCUAGUUGGUGUGGUAACGGCAUACCAAGGCAACGAUAGAUAGGGGUCCUGAGAGGGAGAUCCCCCACACUGGUACUGAGACACGGACCAGACUCCUACGGGAGGCAGCAGUGAGGAAUAUUGGACAAUGGAGGCAACUCUGAUCCAGCCAUGCCGCGUGCAGGAAGACUGCCCUAUGGGUUGUAAACUGCUUUUAUACAGGAAGAAAUACCUCUACGUGUAGAGAUUUGACGGUACUGUAAGAAUAAGGAUCGGCUAACUCCGUGCCAGCCGCCGCAGUAAGAC